RNAcentral lists this ribosomal RNA (806 nucleotides) under uncultured bacterium. RNAcentral's name for it is "bacterial SSU rRNA". It matches the Rfam family "Bacterial small subunit ribosomal RNA", at positions 62 to 846 of the family's 1533-position model. The record is from RNAcentral.
GAGACCUUUUAUUUGAUGCUUGCAUCUUUUAAAAAGUUGAGUGCGCUAACGGGUGAGUAACACGUGGGUAACCUGCCUUAAAGUGGGGGAUAACACUUGGAAACAGGUGCUAAUACCGCAUAACCAUCAAAACCGCCUGGUUUUGAUGUUAAAGAUGGUUCUGCUAUCGCUUUAAGAUGGACCCGCGGCGUAUUAGCUAGUUGGUGAGGUAAUGGCUUACCAAGGCAAUGAUACGUAGCCGAACUGAGAGGUUGAUCGGCCACAUUGGGACUGAGACACGGCCCAAACUCCUACGGGAGGCAGCAGUAGGGAAUCUUCCACAAUGGACGAAAGUCUGAUGGAGCAACGCCGCGUGAGUGAAGAAGGUUUUCGGAUCGUAAAACUCUGUUGUCAGAGAAGAACGUGUGUGAGAGUAACUGUUCACGCAGUGACGGUAUCUGACCAGAAAGUCACGGCUAACUACGUGCCAGCAGCCACGGUAAUACGUAGGUGGCAAGCGUUGUCCGGAUUUAUUGGGCGUAAAGGGAACGCAGGCGGUCUUUUAAGUCUGAUGUGAAAGCCUUCGGCUUAACCGAAGUCGGGCAUUGGAAACUGGGAGACUUGAGUGCAGAAGAGGAGAGUGGAACUCCAUGUGUAGCGGUGAAAUGCGUAGAUAUAUGGAAGAACACCAGUGGCGAAAGCGGCUCUCUGGUCUGUAACUGACGCUGAGGUUCGAAAGCGUGGGUAGCAAACAGGAUUAGAUACCCUGGUAGUCCACGCCGUAAACGAUGAAUGCUAAAUGUUGGAGGGUUUCCGCCCUUCAGUGC